UUUACCAAUCUACAUCAGAUCCUUUGGAUUGGACUCCUAUCGACAAGGUUGGACUUGUCAAAUUAUUUCAAGAUAAAUGUUAUUUUUCACAAGGACAUGCCAAAUUGUUUAUUUAAUUUUUCUUUAAAUAUUUUAGGAGAAUCCUUAUCAUAAUUAUAAUUAUUAUGUAUAAAAUUGAGGCUUUGGAAUUUUUUAGAAUGGAUUUUCAGAUGAACUUUAUUAGGGUGCAAUCUUCUGCAACUUUAAGCCAAAAUAAAAGAAAAUCGAUUGACUUAAAUAUAACAUUUCUGACUAUUCCAAAAACUAAUCUCGUUUGAAGCUUGCUGUUUUCCCCUACUUGUCAUGGGGUCUUAUGUGAUCUAUUUCGUGGGUUCUAGUAUGUUAAUGUUACUAUGUUGAAUAUUGGACUCAUUUCAGUACAAUUCUGAGUUCAUGCACUUUUAUGCUUUAUCCUUCUUCUUCAAAUGCUUUGAAUCACCACACAGGAAUCCAAUUACCCUCUUGCAACUUAGUAUCACUUGAGUUCGGAUCAAACAUGUCUCAUAGGGAAAAUUCCUUCAUGCUUUGUUAGUCCUCAAGAACCUUCGUACUGAUUCCUUCUUCAAUGUAUCUCUGAACUAUCCACCUCAUAAUGCAAAUGGCUCCAUGAAUACAUUCAGUGUUGCCUUGGUCCCUCUAUUGCAGAACGGUUUGGAUUUAUUUUACCGGUCAUCAUAGGCAAUUUGUGAAGAAAGGACCGCCAAAGCACUGCCAUAGACCACAACGUUAUGUUUAUAAAAUGGCAGUAUUUUGGCUUUCUGCCAUCAGUCUUUACCUCCAACCGACCCAUGUUUUCAUUGGUUUUUUCAGCUGACUUGAUGCUACUUGCUCAGAUCCAACAAUAUGAAUGACUUUGAUUUACAAUAUCAUUGUGAAAUUUGUUUCCUAAUAUUUCCCAAUAUGACUCUUUUCCUAAUAUCAUUGUGAACCAUAUAAAUAGGUCUUGUGUUCUGUUUUUCUUGUUUAGGUAAAUCUAAAAAAACAAGUCAAGUCGAAAUUUGGGUUGAAAGAAAAUAGGUAUAUCACGUUUUGUUCAUUAAUGACUCGAUCUUUUGGAA
Cicer arietinum (chickpea) is the source of this 1097-nucleotide long non-coding RNA. RefSeq lists it as uncharacterized. The record is from RefSeq and is a predicted model, not a curated record. NCBI's taxonomy places the organism in Eukaryota, Viridiplantae, Streptophyta, Magnoliopsida, Fabales, Fabaceae.